This 1243-nucleotide small RNA is filed under the name Vigna angularis var. angularis. RNAcentral's name for it is "Non-protein coding transcript". The record is from RNAcentral. Lineage: Eukaryota; Viridiplantae; Streptophyta; Magnoliopsida; Fabales; Fabaceae.
GAAAAAUUUAUUAAGGUUCGCUCCUUCUUCUUCACGGCGACGUGAGCUUUGUGAUGAUGAUGAAUGAAAAUGGUUCGAAGAGGUGUAAGGAGAAGGCGUACUGUAUAAUUUGAGAUUUUUAUGAAUGGAGUUUUGUGUUUAGGGUUUUUCGUGGUCUCUGUUUUCUGAUGCAGGUGGAAGACGUUGGAGUUCACGAUUUAGGGAAGGUGAAGGUGCGAAUUGGGGUUGCGCGAUUCUAGGGUUUCUGUUUCUGAUUUUGAGAUGAACUGUGUUGAUUUUCUGAGUUUGCAUAUUAAGAACCGCCAAGGAAAAAACAUGAUUUGUGCGAGAUGAUGGGGACACUGAAUCGCUUUUGCAUCGCUUUUGCAUCGCGGCAGAGGUGCAGUUGCGCGAGAAGGACUCUGAUUUCCCCUACUUUAAGGUGGUUCACGGACAAUACAGAACCUACGAAAGCGUUUCCAUCUCAAUUUAACCGAAGAGGUUUUGAUAUUAAUAUUAAUUACUCUCUAUACUAGAAUUUUUUGUUGCCGAUUCGCUAUAUCUUUUUCUUUCUCCUAACAACAAUGUGUGUCGUUGGUGCUUUCCCUCAUUAGCAGCAACAUGGAUGUGUGGCGGACUAGGCAGUAUGAUUAUAAUCAGAGGGUUUUGAAUGGGAUUUUGUGAAAUAGAUUGUCAAUAAUGAUCGUUUGCUUGUUCCCUUUUGACUAAAGCUCGCCCGAUGAUUGUUCAUAAAAUAGUAUUUGAUUUUAUAAGUCAUUGGAGGAUGGUUGGUUCACUGUAGUAUGGCUUAUAGAGUUUUCCGAGAAGAAUUAAUAGGUGGCAGAGUGCAGCCUCUAUUCUCCUUGUGAGGGUGGGAGGAAGAUUCUGAUGCAAAAAUAGUGAAUGCAUUCACGGCGGCUUGUGGCAUUGACGCCUUCACCGUCGGAGAAUCGGAGGUGUGGUGAAGAUGCAAAAUUUCUUAAUUUUGGGGUUUUACGGUGAUACAAAGAGGAGCGGUGGUGAACAGAUGAACGAUUUAGGAUUCACCUUUUUGGGAUUUUACGGUGCUGAAUGACAAAGAGAGGCUGAUCAUGGCGGAUGAAGUUAAUGCAGCAUGAGAUGCUUUGUUGGUGAAGAGGAAUGAAACUUCUAGGGUUUUUUUGAAUGCUCUUUCAUCUUUUUAUAUUUUUUUAAUUUACUAUUUCAUGUGAUAAUUUAAUUAUUUCCAUGUAAUAAAAUAUUCAUAUAAGUAUAUUUAUUCUCA